CCUCCUUCUCAUUUUUCCUCUUCCUCUUGCUCUUUUCCACUUUUCCUUCUGUUUCUGCUUACCCUUAAAAACAUAAAAAUGGUUUUUGGCUUGUAUGCUAUAAAUAGUCUACUCUCUGGUUUUGACCACAGGCAGUACUUUGAGAACCCCUGGUAUAGAUUGCUUUGAGGGGGGUGGAUAUCAAUUAUGUUUUACAAGGGUCAAUUUCACUGCCGUCAUGCUAAUAGAGUGUAGAGGACAAAGAUGGAAGCAGGAAGACAGUCAACUCGUUACGACACUCAUCUAGCCACAGACGAUGAUGGCAUGGACUCGGGUGGUUCCCUGGAUGAGUCCUAGAGACACUGCAGUUUGCCUGAGGACAAGAUUCCACUCUGGAGGUCCAGCAGUACCAAGUCUUGGGCCAGAGAAGAAGAUGCCUUAAACUCAAAGUAAACGAGACACCAUGAAGUGAUGUUUGGGGUCCCGCAGAGGGUUUUGUUUUUGUUCAGAGAAGAAGAGAGCUUUAAAGAGGUCUGCUCCCACCAUUACAACAAGAAAAACAGCUGGGCAAACUGCAAUUCAAAGACUAUUCUUGACCCAUCAGAGAGCUUAAAUCACAGAGCAAAAACCUAACAUGAAAUCUGGAAAGAAACAGGAGCCUACAUGGAGAAACAGAACCUCAGCAUUUGCCUAUUUGGGGCAAGUGCUUGUCUGUGGUCAUUUAGGCCAAAAAAAGAUUCAGCUAGAAACUUUUAACAAAUUGCUAAAGGCUAGCAUGUAAGUGCGACUUCCCUGGGGGCACAGACACAGGGGGCUCCCUAUUCCUUUUCAGACUUUUCCUCCGGGAAUCACAUGAAGUUCUCAUAGGGAAGACCCAAGAGAAUAUUGAGAAAACUCACCCUGUAGUACUAGCUGGAGGAGGAGACCAGCUGCUCCUAUCAAAAUCCAUCCAGACUCAUCUCCAUCUCUCUCAAAGAAUGAAAGCCUUAAUUUGAGGGGGAAGAAUAACAAAAACUGUCACCGGAUGGAGCUGGGGGAAACUACCUCCAACUUGGGGAGAGAAAGAGGAAAAAAACCAUUUUUUAAUAAGUUCUACACCUGGAGGAAGGCCAGGAAUACGUGGUGAUCACAUCUCCAGGAAGGGCGGAAACAUUUGUGAGCACCACGCCUCUGAGACCCAGGUGUACAGGGCCUGGCUAGGGCUGAGGCUUAAUCAAAUACUACCCCCUUCUAAAGCCCCUUACCCAGCCACCUUUACCACCACACUAACAAGCACUGAGUAACAACAGCAAUAACAUCUGGGAGAGCUGGAAGAGACUUAAUUCUCUCUGGGUAGCAGUUCAAAGAGAAGACUCAUCAUCAAGUGAGCAGACCCACAGCCAGGUAAGGAACAGACAUUGAGGAAAAUCCUCUGGCUAAUUAGUCCACACCCUAAGCAUAAGAUAUCACCUGGGAAAUGUGAAGCCUGUGUUGAGCUGAGGCUAACUAUAGCAACAACCAUCUUCAACCAAGCUCAACUCCCAACUAGACUGAUGAAAACUCCCACAGUUAAGGUCUUGCAGAAAGAAAGGCACGUCUAUCUCUAAGACUAAAAAUUAUUUACUUCAGCAUCUACUGUUGUAUACAAUGUAUUAGGUAUUCAACAAAAAAAAUUAAAAAGAAUACAAAAAAAGGCAAUUAAAAACACAGAAGAGCCAAAAUAAUCAUCUGAAAAGAUUUAUGAUUUAUGGAAGUAUCAGACAGGUAAUUUACAAUAAUUAUGCUAAUACAUUAAAGGCUCUAAUGAAAAGGUAGGCAACAAGCAAAACUACAUAGGUAAUUUAAGCAGAUCAGAUAGAAAUUUUAGAAAAGAAUCAAAGGGAAAUAUUAGAUUUCAAAAAUAAAGUAAGAGAGAUGAAGAAAGCUUGAAACGGGAUCAUCAGAAGACUUGACUGAGCUGAGGAAGAAUCCGUGAAGAUGUAGAUAGGUCAAUAGAAAUUGCCCAAACUGAAGUGUGUGUGGGGUAUAUGUGUAUGUGCACGUAUGUGUGUGUGUGUGUGUGUGAGAGAGAGAGAGAGAGAGGGACAGAGACAGAGACAGAGAUAGGCAGAAAGAGAGAUGGAGAAAGGGAGAGAAUAGAACAUCCAAGAGCUAUGACAAUAUCAAGCACUCUAAUGUGUAACUGGGUUAUUGGCAUAUGAAUAAUUGGAACCCCAGAAGGAAAAAUGAGAAUGAAUAGGAAGAAGAUAUAUUUAAAGAAAUAAUGGUUGAGAAUUUUCCAAAUUUAGUGAUAGAUAUGAAACCACAGAUGCAGAAAGCUCAGAGACAACCAACCAGGAUAAACACUAAAAAAAUCCACAGUCAGGCAUAUUACAUUCAAAGUUGAAAACUAAGAACAAAGCGAAAAUUGUGAAGGCAG
This is a long non-coding RNA of Equus caballus (horse), 2377 nucleotides long. NCBI's taxonomy places the organism in Eukaryota, Metazoa, Chordata, Mammalia, Perissodactyla, Equidae. The record is from Ensembl.